UGGGGAAUAUUGGACAAUGGGCGAAAGCCUGAUCCAGCAAUGCCGCGUGAGUGAUGAAGGCCUUAGGGUUGUAAAGCUCUUUUACCAGGGAUGAUAAUGACAGUACCUGGAGAAUAAGCUCCGGCUAACUCCGUGCCAGCAGCCGCGGUAAUACGGAGGGAGCUAGCGUUGUUCGGAAUUACUGGGCGUAAAGCGCGCGUAGGCGGUUACUCAAGUCAGAGGUGAAAGCCCGGGGCUCAACCCCGGAACUGCCUUUGAAACUAGGUAACUAGAAUCUUGGAGAGGUCAGUGGAAUUCCGAGUGUAGAGGUGAAAUUCGUAGAUAUUCGGAAGAACACCAGUGGCGAAGGCGACUGACUGGACAAGUAUUGACGCUGAGGUGCGAAAGCGUGGGGAGCAAACA
This 402-nucleotide ribosomal RNA is filed under the name Brucella melitensis. RNAcentral's name for it is "partial 16S ribosomal RNA". It matches the Rfam family "Bacterial small subunit ribosomal RNA", at positions 355 to 774 of the family's 1533-position model. Lineage: Bacteria; Pseudomonadati; Pseudomonadota; Alphaproteobacteria; Hyphomicrobiales; Brucellaceae. The record is from RNAcentral. RNAcentral also lists the same sequence under 2 other names.